Molecule: long non-coding RNA, 613 nt
Organism: Mus musculus (house mouse)
Lineage: Eukaryota; Metazoa; Chordata; Mammalia; Rodentia; Muridae
Product: RIKEN cDNA 4930452N14 gene
Exons: 4
Source: RefSeq, marked predicted
GCUCCUGCCUGUGAUUGGCAAGUCUGAAAUCGUUUCGGUGGGGAAACGUAUCGCAUCAAGAACAGGAAGAUUCUUGUUUGGUGCCAGAGCAGCUUGAAAUCUGGUCCAGAAUAUUUUAUCAAAAAGAAAAAAAAAAAAAAAAAAAAAAAGCUCUGACUUGGGAUUCUCUCUUCUGAGCAAGACAAUUGCAAUCUGCUUCAAGCUUUAGAGCUAAUGGUACCACCCACUGAGUCUCCUUUUGGACCUAUGAAUAGGGACAAUUCUCACAGUUUUAAAGUGGCCCCAUCAUGUCAAGCUACUAGAGGCAGCUGGGCCACACCCUCCUGGGAGGGACUUCUGAAUUCCCAAUGGCUGUUUUCAUCUGACUUUUGGAAAGUUUCCUGCAUCCAGGUUCCAGCCUUGAGUUCCUGCCUGACUUUCUGGAUUAUAAGAUGAAAUGGAGGAACAAGAUGAACCAGAGAUCUGGCAAGAGGCAUCUAAUAGUACCAUCGAGGACAGUGGCUCCCUACAGACCCUUAGCCCACCUCUGAUACAUUCACGCUCAUGGUGUUUUCCACAGAUGUCUCACAUUUCACAAACCUGUCAAUUCCAGUACAUAUCAUCUUGAACUAUG